CUAGCUUUAAUGCAGGUGCCUCCAGCACUUGUUUUCUCCUACCCAUCAACGGACCAGCAGAAGAUUCUCCCCUUCUCGUCUCCAACCAAGAGCUUAGUCUGGUUUCUUGAGAAGAAAAAGAAAAGGCUUGAUCCAUGGAUGGCUGUGAAGACAACUCUUUCCAUGAAGACAGCUUAAGGUUCCAACUUCCUUCUGGGUCUAUUGCUCGUGGCUAUGCUAAUCCAGAAGAAGUUGACCCAAGAAAGCAAGACAGGUAUCCCCAGGUGGUCUCUGGGCUCCACCCUCAUCAGUGUUUCUGGAUGCAAGUUCAGUGGUCUCCACUGAUGGAAAACCCUGUGGUUGGAAUGUGAGCUGGAUCCUACCAGACCAUACUGCUUCCUGCCACUUCUAUCUACAGAGCCCCAGUCUUCUUGUGUUGGCUCUAUAGUUGGCAUCCUUCAUGAUGUCCUCCUGGCUUCCCAAACACCACUAGAGCUAUUCCAAGUCACAAGUCAGCUAUUACCACUAUUGGUGAUCUUCAUCACCACUAACAAUACCUUUCACCUGGGGACUGAAACAACAGAAGAUGCUGAUGAUAACCCAGUUCUUGGCACACAGCAUCUUCCUAAGUCUUCAACCAAUCAUAGUGGGUCUUAAAUGGCAAGUUCCAAGACAGUAAAAAGAGGAGCCUGGCUUCCAACUCAAGUCUCCCCUUUUGAUCAGCUGCCAACUUUGAACAAGCUAUUUGACCUCUCUGGACUCAGUUUCUCCAUCUGUAAGAGUGAAGGUGCUGACAAAGCCUUGCAGGGCUGGCACAGGAGAAUAGUAAGUGUAGAGUAUACACAAAAUAAUACUAGCCAUGACCAAUGUUCAGCAAUGCUCCUAUUGUCUGGCCUGAACUCUCUAGAGCACUUAUAGUGCAAGUUGAACAACAUUCCCUUCUGGUCUCAGGCUUUCAGGCUGUGCCUAGCUAGCCUCAUUGUCUCCUCACCCAGACUCAGCUCCAGGCUCUUCCUGGAGACAGAGUAACACAAGUACCCCAAAUUUACAAACUAUGCUCCUAACUGUUUCCCUUACAGGACUUCUCAGAGCCUAACAGUUUCACUUCUUUAUUUGUUUAUAGCUUAAUACCACCACCCCUAUCUGGCACAUGUCUUUAGGGCAAGACACAACUGCCUGAGUUGCCUGCAUGCAGUAGAUGCUACGUGGUCACUUGUUCUCUCAAUGACACCUGGUUGUCUCUGACCCUGCCAUUUCUUCAUCUAAGUCUGUCACAUCUUCCUUGGAGAACACAGCUGUAAUCAAUAGGUAGAGGUGAACUCUGCCUGUUACUCCAUCUCAGAGUUGUCAGUGCCUCUCUUACCUUCCAUUGCCCUCCAAAUUACCUCCCAUCCUAGGCCUCACCAUGCCUUCUGGAAAUUGUUCUUUGUGUUUGUUCAGUUCUGCCCAGUGCUUGUCUGAGAACCCAAACACUGCCAAGCUUACCAAGGACCCAGGGAAGGUUGGCCGGCUGAACCAGGAUUAGAGAAGCUUCAGUUGUUCUACAGCACUGUGGCCUCAUGCCCAGGGCUGGAAACCCCAUGAGGCUUUGUGGGAAAUGCUCUCACCUUGCCUGAGUCAAGGUUCAAACCCUUGCUUGAAGGAAAAGGGAGAGGGCCUGAAGGAUGUUAAUACCUGCCCCCAGGUCUUGUCUGCAGCACCCAUGGCUUCUCUUGACCUGGCUAGAGAGCUUACUUACACCCCCCUCAGCACAUUGCUCCAGCUUGCUCUCACACAGUUACAGGAGAGACUCCUGGCCCAUGUGCCAUCUCCAGAGGUUACCCCAGGUCUCUUUAAGCACCUAUGCCUUCUCUGAAGCAGGAAGAAGGCCUGACACAUACUGGGCUGCAAGACAGAGGAUGUGCCACCCAGCAGUCAGACACAGCAGAAAUGAGGCUGGUGAGCCCAAGGUAUGAAUGUGGGUAGGCCGUGCUAGACCUAAAUCAUCAGCAAGGGUUCUAGAUUGCUGGUGACUGUCUCAUUACAGAUGGAGACCUGGCAUCCUCAGAGAAAAGCUACUGCCCAAGGUAGGCACUUGGUGCUGUCCUAGAAGCCUGAGACCCAGCCUCCUUCCUCGGAAGCCACUUUUGCAACAAUGUUCUGUCAGCCAGCAGAGACUUCACCCCCAAUGCACUGGUCCUGAUUCAGUGACCUGGUGAGUUUUCCAUUAAAGGUACUGAUGAAAUCAAUGUUUCCCUUGAGACUUGUAGAAGAAAUCCCAGGUUCUCUGAUCUCAGGCUCACCAGCCUUUCCCACGCCAUACUCACCAAACUCCACUGCAUUACAGUUGGUUAAAAACUCGGGCAAGUAGAAAAAUUCAGGUGUCAGCUCCCUGACGUCACUCAUGUUCUCCUUGGAGGCAGACUCCCAUGUGUUCUUCACACUGUGGAACAUUCUAUCAGCCACAUCAAAACUUCCACCCUGUGGGAGAAAGGGUGACAUGAAGCCACCUGUGUGUGUGUGUCUCCCUCUAUCCAUUCAGCCGCCAAGGAAGGAGCUCUGAAGUCAGGAAUGAAGUAACACCUCCAUUUUACAGACCAGAAAACUGACACCCAAGGUGUGCUGAUUUCCCCAAGACUAUCAAAGCUGUGAAUGCCAGGACUGGGGUCAAACCUAUGAGUACAACUGUAAAGGGCAUGUUUUGCGCUGGCAGUUCCUAAGGAAAUCUCUGGAACUGGUACAAAUCUCUGGAACUUGGCCUACUGUGUGUGUGUGGGGGGGCAAAGGUUGAAGAGGACUCAGCUCUUCCUAGAGAGAAGGACCCACCACAUACCUAAGGCAUGUCACCCCUGGGCAACCUGGUAGACAAGGACUGAGUGAUGCAUUUUCUAAUCCACUUGAGCCAUAGGUCAUUUUUCUGCACAGGGACAGGAACACUGAGAUAUCCGUCCCCAAGAGGUCUCAACCAUAACGCAUAGCCCCCACCCAUGUCACUUUGCUCUGUGUUAAAAUCGGGAGACAAUGUCCACCAUCAAAUGGAAAUGGAAAUAGAAAUGAAGUGGGGCAAAUCUAAAUAAAUCUGCACCUAACGAGUCACUCAUUGAAAUGUA
Molecule: non-coding RNA, 3068 nt
Organism: Cricetulus griseus (Chinese hamster)
Lineage: Eukaryota; Metazoa; Chordata; Mammalia; Rodentia; Cricetidae
Source: RefSeq, a predicted model, not a curated record